This is a small nucleolar RNA of Betta splendens (Siamese fighting fish), 74 nucleotides long. Ensembl annotates it as small nucleolar RNA SNORD47. NCBI's taxonomy places the organism in Eukaryota, Metazoa, Chordata, Actinopteri, Anabantiformes, Osphronemidae. The record is from Ensembl.
AACCAGUGAUGAAAGAUUCUGCCAAAUGAUUACUCAUGAUUCUAACCUUUACCGUUCCAUUUUAUUCUGAGGAA